Molecule: ribosomal RNA, 157 nt
Filed under: Homalodisca vitripennis (glassy-winged sharpshooter)
Lineage: Eukaryota; Metazoa; Arthropoda; Insecta; Hemiptera; Cicadellidae
Description: 5.8S ribosomal RNA
Rfam family: 5.8S ribosomal RNA
About the family: 5.8S ribosomal RNA (5.8S rRNA) is a component of the large subunit of the eukaryotic ribosome. It is transcribed by RNA polymerase I as part of the 45S precursor that also contains 18S and 28S rRNA.
Source: RNAcentral
UACCCUGAACGGUGGAUCACUUGGCUCGUGGGUCGAUGAAAAACGCAGCUAAAACGCGCGUUGACGUGUGAACUGCAGGACACAUGAACAUCGACAAUUUGAACGCACAUUGCGGCCCUGGGAUAUUAUUCCAAGGGCCACGCCUGUCUGAGGGUCG